This 88-nucleotide unclassified non-coding RNA is filed under the name Porphyromonadaceae bacterium KHP3R9. RNAcentral's name for it is "Small nucleolar RNA snoR31". The record is from RNAcentral. Lineage: Bacteria; Pseudomonadati; Bacteroidota; Bacteroidia; Bacteroidales; Porphyromonadaceae.
AUGAUUAUGAUGAAGCAAUAAAAUCCAAAAGAGGUUCUAAAACUUCAAGCAAAGCUGAAUUAAAACAUAAAUCAGCUUCUGCUUCGGC